UUGAUCAUGGCUCAGAUUGAACGCAGGCGCCGUGCCUAACACAUGCAAGUCGAGCGGUAACGCGGGAGCAAUCCUGGCGACGAGCGGCGAACGGGUGAGUAACGCUUCGGAAUCUACCCACGGGUGGGGAAUAACCAACCGAAAGGUUGGCUAAUACCGCAUACGUCCUACGGGGGAAAGCGGGGGAUCGCAAGACCUCGCGCCGGUGGAUGAGCCGAAGUCGGAUUAGCUAGUUGGUAGGGUAACGGCCUACCAAGGCGACGAUCCGUAGCUGGUCUGAGAGGACGACCAGCCACACUGGGACUGAGACACGGCCCAGACUCCUACGGGAGGCAGCAGUGGGGAAUAUUGGACAAUGGGGGAAACCCUGAUCCAGCGACGCCGCGUGUGUGAAGAAGGCCUGCGGGUUGUAAAGCACUUUUAGUGGGGAUGAAAAGCCUAGAGCGAAUACCUCUGGGUCUUGACCUAACCCACAGAAAAAGCACCGGCUAACUCUGUGCCAGCAGCCGCGGUAAUACAGAGGGUGCGAGCGUUAAUCGAAUUACUGGGCGUAAGCGUGCGUAGACGGUCAUACAAGUCGGGUGUGAAAGCCCGGCUCACCUGGGAAUUGCAUUCAAACUGUAUGCUAGGUGCGAAAGGAAGCGAAUUCCGUGUACCGUGAAUGCUAAAUUCGAAGGA
This 678-nucleotide ribosomal RNA is filed under the name uncultured Gammaproteobacteria bacterium. RNAcentral's name for it is "bacterial SSU rRNA". It matches the Rfam family "Bacterial small subunit ribosomal RNA", at positions 13 to 705 of the family's 1533-position model. The record is from RNAcentral. Lineage: Bacteria; Pseudomonadati; Pseudomonadota; Gammaproteobacteria.